RNAcentral lists this transfer RNA (72 nucleotides) under Camelus bactrianus (Bactrian camel). It matches the Rfam family "tRNA". From Rfam's summary of the family: Transfer RNA (tRNA) molecules are approximately 80 nucleotides in length. Their secondary structure includes four short double-helical elements and three loops (D, anti-codon, and T loops). Lineage: Eukaryota; Metazoa; Chordata; Mammalia; Artiodactyla; Camelidae. The record is from Rfam by way of RNAcentral. RNAcentral also lists the same sequence under 1 other name.
GAGAGUAUAGCUUAGUGGUGGAGUACGUGCUUAGCAUGCAUGAGGCCCUGGGUUCACUCCCUAGGACCUUCA